Molecule: ribosomal RNA, 257 nt
Filed under: uncultured bacterium
Lineage: Bacteria
Description: partial 16S ribosomal RNA
Rfam family: Bacterial small subunit ribosomal RNA
Source: RNAcentral
CGUAGGUGGCAAGCGUUAUCCGGGAAUUAUUGGGCGUAAAGCGCGCGUAGGCGGUUUUUAAGUCUGAUGUGAAAGACCCACGGCUCAACCGUGGAGGGUCGAUUGGAAACUAGGAAAACUUAGAGUGCAGAAGAGGAAGUAGGAAUUCCAUGUGUAGCGGUGAAAUGCGCAGAGAUAUGGAGGAACACCAGUGGCGAAGGCGACUUUCUGGUCUGUAACUGACGCUGAUGUGCGAAAGUGUGGGAUCAAACAGGAUU